GUCGGGAUGGCCGAGUGGUCUAAGGCGUCAGACUCAAGCUCGUGGAGAUCGUGAGUUCAAAUCUCACUUCUGACA
Non-coding RNA from Hibiscus syriacus, 75 nucleotides. Lineage: Eukaryota; Viridiplantae; Streptophyta; Magnoliopsida; Malvales; Malvaceae. The record is from the annotation of a RefSeq genome assembly.